GCUACGGGAGGCAGCAGUGAGGAAUAUUGGUCAAUGGGCGCGAGCCUGAACCAGCCAAGUAGCGUGAAGGAUGACUGCCCUACGGGUUGUAAACUUCUUUUAUAAAGGAAUAAAGUGAGGCACGUGUGCCUUUUUGUAUGUACUUUAUGAAUAAGGAUCGGCUAACUCCGUGCCAGCAGCCGCGGUAAUACGGAGGAUCCGAGCGUUAUCCGGAUUUAUUGGGUUUAAAGGGGGCGUGGAUGGGUUGUUAAGUCAGUUGUAAAAGUUUGCGGCUCAACCGUAAAAUUGCAUUUGAUACUGGCAGCCUUAGUUGCGGUUGGGGUAGUCGAACUUCUUGGUUUGGCGGUAAACUGCUUGACUUUCACAAGAAACUCCGCUUGCAAGGGCAGCUUACUAAACUUCCACUACCAUUAAUGCUCAAAGGUGUGGGUGUCAAACGGACUUCACUCCCCGGGUCGU
Molecule: ribosomal RNA, 459 nt
Filed under: uncultured bacterium
Lineage: Bacteria
Description: partial 16S ribosomal RNA
Rfam family: Bacterial small subunit ribosomal RNA
Source: RNAcentral